Molecule: ribosomal RNA, 253 nt
Filed under: uncultured bacterium
Lineage: Bacteria
Description: partial 16S ribosomal RNA
Rfam family: Bacterial small subunit ribosomal RNA
Source: RNAcentral
UACGAAGGGAGCUAGCGUUGUUCGGAAUUACUGGGCGUAAAGCGCGCGUAGGUGGCUUUUCAAGUCAGAGGUGAAAUCCCCAGGCUCAACCUGGGAAUUGCCUUUGAAACUGUUAAGCUUGAGUACUGGAGGGGAUGGUGGAAUUUCUAAUGUAGCGGUGAAAUGCGUAGAUAUUAGAAGGAACACCGGUGGCGAAGGCGACCAUCUGGACAGUAACUGACACUGAGGCGCGAAAGCGUGGGGAUCAAACAGG